GCCUCUAUAGCUCAGUUGGUAGAGCACCUGAUUUGUAAUCAGGGGGUCGCGGGUUCAAGUCCUGCUGGGGGCACCA
RNAcentral lists this transfer RNA (76 nucleotides) under Neogemmobacter tilapiae. Its description in RNAcentral is "Gemmobacter tilapiae tRNA-Thr". It matches the Rfam family "tRNA". From Rfam's summary of the family: Transfer RNA (tRNA) molecules are approximately 80 nucleotides in length. Their secondary structure includes four short double-helical elements and three loops (D, anti-codon, and T loops). The record is from RNAcentral. Lineage: Bacteria; Pseudomonadati; Pseudomonadota; Alphaproteobacteria; Rhodobacterales; Paracoccaceae. RNAcentral also lists the same sequence under 1 other name.